GAUGAACGCUGGCGGCGUGCCUAAUACAUGCAAGUCGAGCGAACGGACGAGAAGCUUGCUUCUCUGAUGUUAGCGGCGGACGGGUGAGUAACACGUGGAUAACCUACCUAUAAGACUGGGAUAACUUCGGGAAACCGGAGCUAAUACCGGAUAAUAUUUUGAACCGCAUGGUUCAAAAGUGAAAGACGGUCUUGCUGUCACUUAUAGAUGGAUCCGCGCUGCAUUAGCUAGUUGGUAAGGUAACGGCUUACCAAGGCAACGAUGCAUAGCCGACCUGAGAGGGUGAUCGGCCACACUGGAACUGAGACACGGUCCAGACUCCUACGGGAGGCAGCAGUAGGGAAUCUUCCGCAAUGGGCGAAAGCCUGACGGAGCAACGCCGCGUGAGUGAUGAAGGUCUUCGGAUCGUAAAACUCUGUUAUUAGGGAAGAACAUAUGUGUAAGUAACUGUGCACAUCUUGACGGUACCUAAUCAGAAAGCCACGGCUAACUACGUGCCAGCAGCCGCGGUAAUACGUAGGUGGCAAGCGUUAUCCGGAAUUAUUGGGCGUAAAGCGCGCGUAGGCGGUUUUUUAAGUCUGAUGUGAAAGCCCACGGCUCAACCGUGGAGGGUCAUUGGAAACGUGGAAAACUUGAGUGCAGAAGAGGAAAGUGGAAUUCCAUGUGUAGCGGUGAAAUGCGCAGAGAUAUGGAGGAACACCAGUGGCGAAGGCGACUUUCUGGUCUGUAACUGACGCUGAUGUGCGAAAGCGUGGGGAUCGAACAGGAUUAGAUACCCUGGUAGUCCACGCCGUAAACGAUGAGUGCUAAGUGUUAGGGGGUUUCCGCCCCUUAGUGCUGCAGCUAACGCAUUAAGCACUCCGCCUGGGGAGUACGACCGCAAGGUUGAAACUCAAAGGAAUUGACGGGGACCCGCACAAGCGGUGGAGCAUGUGGUUUAAUUCGAAGCAACGCGAAGAACCUUACCAAAUCUUGACAUCCUUUGACAACUCUAGAGAUAGAGCCUUCCCCUUCGGGGGACAAAGUGACAGGUGGUGCAUGGUUGUCGUCAGCUCGUGUCGUGAGAUGUUGGGUUAAGUCCCGCAACGAGCGCAACCCUUAAGCUUAGUUGCCAUCAUUAAGUUGGGCACUCUAAGUUGACUGCCGGUGACAAACCGGAGGAAGGUGGGGAUGACGUCAAAUCAUCAUGCCCCUUAUGAUUUGGGCUACACACGUGCUACAAUGGACAAUACAAAGGGCAGCGAAACCGCGAGGUCAAGCAAAUCCCAUAAAGUUGUUCUCAGUUCGGAUUGUAGUCUGCAACUCGACUACAUGAAGCUGGAAUCGCUAGUAAUCGUAGAUCAGCAUGCUACGGUGAAUACGUUCCCGGGUCU
Molecule: ribosomal RNA, 1373 nt
Filed under: uncultured bacterium
Lineage: Bacteria
Description: bacterial SSU rRNA
Rfam family: Bacterial small subunit ribosomal RNA
Source: RNAcentral